This 671-nucleotide ribosomal RNA is filed under the name fungal endophyte. RNAcentral describes it as "eukaryotic LSU rRNA". The stretch from base 191 to 344 matches the Rfam family "5.8S ribosomal RNA". Lineage: Eukaryota; Fungi. The record is from RNAcentral.
GGAUCAUUAAAGAGUUAAACAACUCCUAAACCCAUGUGAACCUACCUUUGUUGCCUCGGCAGGUCUGCAACUUACCCGGAGGGGACCUACCCUGUAGGGACCUUACCCGGUAGUUGCCGGCAUAACCUGCCGGUGGUCUACUAAACUCUGUUUACUAUGUUAUUCUGAAUAAUAUAACUAAAUAAGUUAAAACUUUCAACAACGGAUCUCUUGGUUCUGGCAUCGAUGAAGAACGCAGCGAAAUGCGAUAAGUAAUGUGAAUUGCAGAAUUCAGUGAAUCAUCGAAUCUUUGAACGCACAUUGCGCCCAUUAGUAUUCUAGUGGGCAUGCCUGUUCGAGCGUCAUUUCAACCCUUAAGCCCUGUUGCUUAGCGUUGGGAGCCUACAGAUACCCUCUGUAGUUCCUUAAAGUUAGUGGCGGAGUCGGUUUCACACUCUAGACGUAGUAAAUUUUAUCUCGCCUAUAGAUGAGCCGGUCCCUUGCCGUAAAACCCCCUAAUUUCUAAAGGUUGACCUCGGAUCAGGUAGGAAUACCCGCUGAACUUAAGCAUAUCAAUAAGCGGAGGAAAAGAAACCAACAGGGAUUGCCCUAGUAACGGCGAGUGAAGCGGCAACAGCUCAAAUUUGAAAUCUGGCCUUCGGGUCCGAGUUGUAAUUUGUAGAGGAUGCUUU